Non-coding RNA from Bombyx mori (domestic silkworm), 73 nucleotides. Lineage: Eukaryota; Metazoa; Arthropoda; Insecta; Lepidoptera; Bombycidae. The record is from Rfam.
GGGGGCGUAGCUCAGAUGGUAGAGCGCUCGCUUAGCAUGCGAGAGGUACUGGGAUCGAUGCCCAGCGCCUCCA